AAACUCUGUUAUUAGGGAAGAACAUAUGUGUAAGUAACUGUGCACAUCUUGACGGUACCUAAUCAGAAAGCCACGGCUAACUACGUGCCAGCAGCCGCGGUAAUACGUAGGUGGCAAGCGUUAUCCGGAAUUAUUGGGCGUAAAGCGCGCGUAGGCGGUUUUUUAAGUCUGAUGUGAAAGCCCACGGCUCAACCGUGGAGGGUCAUUGGAAACUGGAAAACUUGAGUGCAGAAGAGGAAAGUGGAAUUCCAUGUGUAGCGGUGAAAUGCGCAGAGAUAUGGAGGAACACCAGUGGCGAAGGCGACUUUCUGGUCUGUAACUGACGCUGAUGUGCGAAAGCGUGGGGAUCAAACAGGAUUAGAUACCCUGGUAGUCCACGCCGUAAACGAUGAGUGCUAAGUGUUAGGGGGUUUCCGCCCCUUAGUGCUGCAGCUAACGCAUUAAGCACUCCGCCUGGGGAGUACGACCGCAAGGUUGAAACUCAAAGGAAUUGACGGC
This 498-nucleotide ribosomal RNA is filed under the name uncultured bacterium. RNAcentral describes it as "bacterial SSU rRNA". It matches the Rfam family "Bacterial small subunit ribosomal RNA", at positions 428 to 917 of the family's 1533-position model. The record is from RNAcentral.